This 497-nucleotide ribosomal RNA is filed under the name uncultured bacterium. RNAcentral's name for it is "partial 16S ribosomal RNA". It matches the Rfam family "Bacterial small subunit ribosomal RNA", at positions 28 to 523 of the family's 1533-position model. The record is from RNAcentral.
GAUGAACGCUGGCGGCGUGCUUAACACAUGCAAGUCGAACGAAGCACUCUAUUUGAUUUUUUUCGGAAAUGAAGAUUUUGUGACUGAGUGGCGGACGGGUGAGUAACGCGUGGGUAACCUGCCUCAUACAGGGGGAUAACAGUUGGAAACGACUGCUAAUACCGCAUAAGCGCACAGUACUGCAUGGUACAGUGUGAAAAACUCCGGUGGUAUGAGAUGGACCCGCGUCUGAUUAGCUAGUUGGUGGGGUAACGGCCUACCAAGGCGACGAUCAGUAGGCGACCUGAGAGGGUGACCGGCCACAUUGGGACUGAGACACGGCCCAAACUCCUACGGGAGGCAGCAGUGGGGAAUAUUGGACAAUGGAGGAAACCCUGAUGCAGCGACGCCGCGUGAACGAAGAAGUAUUUCGGUAUGUAAAGUUCUAUCAGCAGGGAAGAUAAUGACGGUACCUGACUAAGAAGCACCGGCUAAAUACGUGCCAGCAGCCGCGGUAA